Molecule: ribosomal RNA, 487 nt
Filed under: Aleyrodes proletella
Lineage: Eukaryota; Metazoa; Arthropoda; Insecta; Hemiptera; Aleyrodidae
Description: partial large subunit ribosomal RNA
Source: RNAcentral
AUUCUAAAUAAAUUCUGCUCAAUGAAAUUAAUUAAAUAGCCGCAGUAAAUUAACUGUGCUAAGGUAGCAUAAUAAUUAGUUUUUUAAUUAAAAACUAGAAUGAAAGAGAAAAUGAAAAAUUAACUUUUUAAUUAUAAUAAAUAAAUAUAAAUUAAUUUAUAAGUUAAAAAUCUUAUAUAAAAUAAAAAGACAAGAAGACCCUUUAGAAUUUUAUAAAUAAAAAAAUUUAAUAAUUAUAAAUUUGAAUAUUUAUUAAGUUGGGGAGACUAUGAAAUAUUAAAAACUUUCACUUUUUUAAAACAAAAAUAAAUGAAUCUAUAAAUAUCCAGUUAACAGCCGAAUAAAAAACAAAUUACCUAAGGGAUAACAGCGUAAAAUUUCUAAAAAGAUCAAAUUUACAGAAUAAAUUACGACCUCGAUGUUGGAUUAAGAAAAAAUUAUAAAGAAGAAUUUAUAAAAAUUAGGUCUGUUCGACCUUUAAUCUCUU